AAUUCUCAACCUUAUUAGCUUUUGUUGAUAAUGGAUUGGAUAUGGGGGUUUCUUUUGCUGGCUUCUUCACAGAGAUCAGCUCCCCUUAAAUGCAUUAGCUGGUGACCCGCGUGGACCAUCUAUUGGUGUGAUAAUUAUCUACGCCGUGGAUGUCUGCAAUAUUAUGGGUUUGCACUGCUUCUAACUGUCUGUUUGUUCAGACAAUACAUGACA
RNAcentral lists this unclassified non-coding RNA (213 nucleotides) under uncultured Alnicola. Its description in RNAcentral is "sequence contains ITS2". Lineage: Eukaryota; Fungi; Basidiomycota; Agaricomycetes; Agaricales; Cortinariaceae. The record is from RNAcentral.